UUGGUGUUUUAACUGCGGAGAACAUCGCGGGAACACUUUCUUCGAUUUCAAACAGUAAAAUGCCUUGAAUACUUCUCAAAUCAAGUCAAAACUGCUGCAGCAGAAGAGGUUGUCCCAUGAUCCUGGCCCACGAGGUGUGAAAGCGAGUAUGGUUUGUGUAUUCCUUUACAAUGCCGAGGUGGCAGUACCCAGUUUAAACAGGGUCCAGGACCAACCGCCUUCCCGCGACUGACCCCACCAUCCUCCCAUCGAUGUAUACAAGCCACCGGUCCUCCUCAUAAACCCUUCUGAAAAUCAGAGACCAUCUGAAAAUCACUAUGGACCAAUAAAGAGAGUGGUGAUAAUUCACGAUGAACUGGUGUAAUAGUUUUAAAUGCCCAUAUGAGGGAGUGUUCCGGAAAAGAAUGAUUUUGUGAAAAAUAUCGUAAUGUAAUAUGUGAAAUUUCUUGACAUGUAUUUUGCUCAUGGAAUAAAAGCAAUUCUUCGUCAGAUUUCCAAAGCCAUUUUCUCCAUCUGUCGAAUUCGAUAUCCUUAAUGCAGCUGCCGAGUCGGUAUAAGUACUUUAUCACCCGAAAAUGGUCGCAAGAAUCGAGUGAAGAUGAUUUGAGGCAAAAUGUGAUUUGUUUGAGAAUUGUUCUCACAGAGCACUACUG
Molecule: long non-coding RNA, 653 nt
Organism: Lineus longissimus
Lineage: Eukaryota; Metazoa; Nemertea; Pilidiophora; Heteronemertea; Lineidae
Exons: 3
Source: RefSeq, a predicted model, not a curated record